AGAGUUUGAUCAUGGCUCAGAUUGAACGCUGGCGGCAGGCCUAACACAUGCAAGUCGAACGGUAACAGGAAGCAGCUUGCUGCUUCGCUGACGAGUGGCGGACGGGUGAGUAAUGUCUGGGAAACUGCCUGAUGGAGGGGGAUAACUACUGGAAACGGUAGCUAAUACCGCAUAAUGUCGCAAGACCAAAGAGGGGGACCUUCGGGCCUCUUGCCAUCGGAUGUGCCCAGAUGGGAUUAGCUUGUUGGUGGGGUAACGGCUCACCAAGGCGACGAUCCCUAGCUGGUCUGAGAGGAUGACCAGCCACACUGGAACUGAGACACGGUCCAGACUCCUACGGGAGGCAGCAGUGGGGAAUAUUGCACAAUGGGCGCAAGCCUGAUGCAGCCAUGCCGCGUGUAUGAAGAAGGCCUUCGGGUUGUAAAGUACUUUCAGCGGGGAGGAAGGGAGUAAAGUUAAUACCUUUGCAUUGACGUUACCCGCAGAAGAAGCACCGGCUAACUCCGUGCCAGCAGCCGCGGUAAUACGGAGGGUGCAAGCGUUAAUCGGAAUUACUGGGCGUAAAGCGCACGCAGGCGGUUUGUUAAGUCAGAUGUGAAAUCCCCGGGCUCAACCUGGGAACUGCAUCUGAUACUGGCAAGCUUGAGUCUCGUAGAGGGGGUAGAAUUCCAGGUGUAGCGGUGAAAUGCGUAGAGAUCUGGAGGAAUACCGGUGGCGAAGGCGGCCCCCUGGACGAAGACUGACGCUCAGGUGCGAAAGCGUGGGGAGCAAACAGGAUUAGAUACCCUGGUAGUCCACGCCGUAAACGAUGUCGACUUGGAGGUUGUGCCCUUGAGGCGUGGCUUCCGGAGCUAACGCGUUAAGUCGACCGCCUGGGGAGUACGGCCGCAAGGUUAAAACUCAAAUGAAUUGACGGGGCCCGCACAAGCGGUGGAGCAUGUGGUUUAAUUCGAUGCAACGCGAAGAACCUUACCUGGUCUUGACAUCCACGGAAGUUUUCAGAGAUGAGAAUGUGCCUUCGGGAACCGUGAGACAGGUGCUGCAUGGCUGUCGUCAGCUCGUGUUGUGAAAUGUUGGGUUAAGUCCCGCAACGAGCGCAACCCUUAUCCUUUGUUGCCAGCGGUCCGGCCGGGAACUCAAAGGAGACUGCCAGUGAUAAACUGGAGGAAGGUGGGGACGACGUCAAGUCAUCAUGGCCCUUACGACCAGGGCUACACACGUGCUACAAUGGCGCAUACAAAGAGAAGCGACCUCGCGAGAGCAAGCGGACCUCAUAAAGUGCGUCGUAGUCCGGAUUGGAGUCUGCAACUCGACUCCAUGAAGUCGGAAUCGCUAGUAAUCGUGGAUCAGAAUGCCACGGUGAAUACGUUCCCGGCCUUGUGUCACACCGCAGGUCGCUUCUCUUUGUAUGCGCCAUUGUAGCACGUGUGUAGCCCUGUCGUAAGGGCCAUGAUGACUUGACGUCGUCCCCACCUUCCUCCAGUUUAUCACUGGCAGUCUCCUUU
Molecule: ribosomal RNA, 1505 nt
Filed under: Shigella boydii
Lineage: Bacteria; Pseudomonadati; Pseudomonadota; Gammaproteobacteria; Enterobacterales; Enterobacteriaceae
Description: bacterial SSU rRNA
Rfam family: Bacterial small subunit ribosomal RNA
Source: RNAcentral